This 828-nucleotide ribosomal RNA is filed under the name Catharsius sp. sp85. RNAcentral describes it as "SSU rRNA". It matches the Rfam family "Eukaryotic small subunit ribosomal RNA", at positions 470 to 1255 of the family's 1831-position model. The record is from RNAcentral. Lineage: Eukaryota; Metazoa; Arthropoda; Insecta; Coleoptera; Scarabaeidae.
ACGAAAAAUAACGAUACGGGACUCAUCCGAGGCCCCGUAAUCGGAAUGAGUACACUCUAAACCCUUUAACGAGGAUCAAUUGGAGGGCAAGUCUGGUGCCAGCCGCCGCGGUAAUUCCAGCUCCAAUAGCGUAUAUUAAAGUUGUUGCGGUUAAAAAGCUCGUAGUCGAAUUUGUGUCCCGCGCCGCCGGUUCAUCGCUCGCGGUGUCAACUGGCGUGUCCGCGGGACGUCCUGCCGGUGGGCUUAGCCCCCCCGUGGGCGGCCCAAUCUCAAUCCCACCGCGGUGCUCUUCACUGAGUGUCGAGGCGGGCCGGCACGUUUACUUUGAACAAAUUAGAGUGCUUAAAGCAGGCUAAAACAUCGCCUGAAUACUGUGUGCAUGGAAUAAUGGAAUAGGACCUCGGUUCUAUUUUGUUGGUUUUCGGAACCCCGAGGUAAUGAUUAAUAGGAACGGAUGGGGGCAUUCGUAUUGCGACGUUAGAGGUGAAAUUCUUGGAUCGUCGCAAGACGGACAGAAGCGAAAGCAUUUGCCAAAAACGCUUUCAUUGAUCAAGAACGAAAGUUAGAGGUUCGAAGGCGAUCAGAUACCGCCCUAGUUCUAACCAUAAACGAUGCCAGCUAGCGAUCCGCCGACGUUCCUCCGAUGACUCGGCGGGCAGCUUCCGGGAAACCAAAGCCUUUGGGUUCCGGGGGAAGUAUGGUUGCAAAGCUGAAACUUAAAGGAAUUGACGGAAGGGCACCACCAGGAGUGGAGCCUGCGGCUUAAUUUGACUCAACACGGGAAACCUCACCAGGCCCGGACACCGGAAGGAUUGACAGAUUGAGAGC